This 497-nucleotide ribosomal RNA is filed under the name uncultured bacterium. RNAcentral's name for it is "partial 16S ribosomal RNA". It matches the Rfam family "Bacterial small subunit ribosomal RNA", at positions 28 to 507 of the family's 1533-position model. The record is from RNAcentral.
GAUGAACGCUGGCGGCGUGCCUAAUACAUGCAAGUCGAGCGAACAGACGAGGAGCUUGCUCCUCUGACGUUAGCGGCGGACGGGUGAGUAACACGUGGAUAACCUACCUAUAAGACUGGGAUAACUUCGGGAAACCGGAGCUAAUACCGGAUAAUAUAUUGAACCGCAUGGUUCAAUAGUGAAAGACGGUUUUGCUGUCACUUAUAGAUGGAUCCGCGCCGCAUUAGCUAGUUGGUAAGGUAACGGCUUACCAAGGCAACGAUGCGUAGCCGACCUGAGAGGGGGAUCGGCCACACUGGAACUGAGACGCGGUCCAGACUCCUACGGGAGGCAGCAGUAGGGAAUCUUCCGCAAUGGGCGAAAGCUUGACGGAGCAACGCCGCGUGAGUGAUGAAGGUCUUCGGAUCGUAAAACUCUGUUAUUAGGGAAGAACAAAUGUGUAAGUAACUAUGCACGUCUUGACGGUACCUAAUCAGAAAGCCACGGCUAACUACGUG